RNA transcript from Manis pentadactyla (Chinese pangolin), 1697 nucleotides. It is a transcript of the gene named potassium channel subfamily U member 1-like, with no coding region annotated. NCBI's taxonomy places the organism in Eukaryota, Metazoa, Chordata, Mammalia, Pholidota, Manidae. The record is from RefSeq and is a predicted model, not a curated record. The transcript is spliced from 8 exons.
GCCAGAGAGAAUGAGCUUUAUGCUGCCCACUGACCUGCUUUCUCCCUCACUUAGUGGCCACUGUGUCUGACUGUGAAGUGGUGUGUAAGGACACUGGCUUUGCCUCUGUUGUGUCCUUAGAAAGUGGAGGAUAACUGCAGUAUCUGUUCAGGUGGAUGUGAUUUUAGUCUCCAUGGCUGGAGAGAGUGAAAGGAUUAGGAGCUCUGUAUGAAGACCUCGUCUCUUCCAUGGAGGUGUACACGGGUGGAGUGGUCUGAUAUUAAAUCCACCUGCAGAAGUUAGACUGCAUAAGAAUACAUUAGGGUUCUUUAUCACCGAAUCUACAAAGGAUGUCAAAAGAGCCGCCUUUUACUGUGCCGCCUGUCACAGUGAUGUGUACACUCGUGAGCUCAUUGGAAAAUGUAGCUGCAAAAGCAAGAAUCAUCAACAUAUCACAGCUUUGGAAAUUCACAACUCUUUUGAGACAUAUCCCAUGUCAGAUCAAGUGUCUCCAAAAGUUAGAAUGAAUAAUAAAGGAAGCCUUGAAGGGCAAAUAAAGUAAAAGGAGGAAAUAGAUCUGAGAAGAAUGAAUUGCAGUCUGAGCGGUGUCUGCACACAGAGAAAGGGUCUUGUAUCGGGACCCCUUCAUAGAGUCCUGCCGUGGCUGUAGACCCUGCCUGGAGCGGGAAGGCUUCCUGGAUGCUGCGCUUGUGGAUGAGAUGGAAGGCGGGUUGGGUUAGAGAGGCAUCCCAGCACCUCGACAGGUACUUCUUUCAAGCACACCCCAAAUGACUACCAGAAUCCCCAGUCAUCUGCCAUCCGCUCUCUCACUCUGUAGAAGAAAAUGCAACACUGAUUAAAAAGAAGAGCAGCCAGAAGGAAUUCUCGUCUGCCACACCGAGGGGUUCUUUUCCAAGGGAGCAGUCAAAAAUGGGGGGCAGCUUGAGCAUCGCCCCCAGGACUUUUCUGUAUGAAACGGAAGACAAUUCUGACCAGCUUGACAGCAGUGGCGUGUGUCACUGGUGCAAAGCAACCCCUUUGGACAGGCUGAUUCUGCCACCACAAAGUUCCCCGCACUUCUGCCUUACUUAGUCCAAAGAGAGUAAGAAAAGAAAAUGAUCAGAGGUCUUCAGAUCCACCUCGUGUUAGGAAUCACCAUCAUUUCAGGCCUAAGCUACCUGAAAGCAGACCAGACAUGCCCCCGUUUCUUCACCAGGGGAAAGAAGCAGCCACCGCUUUGCCAGCUGAUCGGAAGAGUACCAUCAGGGGGUCUACACUCUUUCCUGAGGACCUCCAUGCAGUCAGCCUAGAGGAGUGUUCCAUGUAUGCUGUCUUAUCCUCGCCGUCCAUGUCACCAAGCAGCCAGACUUUGGUGGACACAGAGGCCAUCAUGGCCACCCUCAACGUCGGAUCACUGCGGAUCGGCUACUCUGCCCAGAAAGAGCCAGGUGAGACCACCCCCCUGACAGGAAGGGGUCAUGGGGAAUGGCAUAGGAGAGAGAGUGAACUCCUCUCUGAAGAACUUCAGUCACUGGGAGUAGGAGAGGUUGGGCCGGGGCCAGUUGGCCUCUAAGGUCCCUUCCAACUCUCAAGAAUUUCAUAAUAGAAGUUUCAGACGGCUCAGUCCUGGGGAAUCCUAAGUCAAAUGAAAAACGAUACCCGUUUUCUAAAUGGAAUGCCUGUAACACUGUUUUCCUAUUUUAAGGAAAAUCGUGAAA